GAUGAACGCUGGCGGCGUGCCUAAUACAUGCAAGUCGAGCGAACAGACGAGGAGCUUGCUCCUCUGACGUUAGCGGCGGACGUGUGAGUAACACGUGGAUAACCUACCUAUAAGACUGGGAUAACUUCGGGAAACCGGAGCUAAUACCGUAUAAUAUAUUGAACCGCAUGGUUCAAUAGUGAAAGACGGUUUUGCUGUCACUUAUAGAUGGAUCCGCGCCGCAUUAGCUAGUUGGUAAGGUAACGGCUUACCAAGGCAACGAUGCGUAGCCGACCUGAGAGGGUGAUCGGCCACACUGGAACUGAGACACGGUCCAGACUCCUACGGGAGGCAGCAGUAGGGAAUCUUCCGCAAUGGGCGAAAGCCUGACGGAGCAACGCCGCGUGAGUGAUGAAGGUCUUCGGAUCGUAAAACUCUGUUAUUAGGGAAGAACAAAUGUGUAAGUAACUAUGCACGUCUUGACGGUACCUAAUCAGAAAGCCACGGCUAACUACGUG
This 497-nucleotide ribosomal RNA is filed under the name uncultured bacterium. RNAcentral describes it as "partial 16S ribosomal RNA". It matches the Rfam family "Bacterial small subunit ribosomal RNA", at positions 28 to 507 of the family's 1533-position model. The record is from RNAcentral.